UACGUAGGCAGCAAGCGUUGUUCGGAGUUACUGGGCGUAAAGGGUGCGUAGGCGGCUUCUUAAGUCUGGUGUGAAAUCUCCCGGCUCAACUGGGAGGGUGCGCCGGAUACUGAGGGGCUAGAGUGUGGGAGAGGAAAGUGGAAUUCCUGGUGUAGCGGUGAAAUGCGUAGAUAUCAGGAGGAACACCGGUGGUGUAGACGGCUUUCUGGACCGUAACUGACGCUGAGACACGAAAGCGUGGGUAGCAAACAGG
Molecule: ribosomal RNA, 253 nt
Filed under: uncultured bacterium
Lineage: Bacteria
Description: partial 16S ribosomal RNA
Rfam family: Bacterial small subunit ribosomal RNA
Source: RNAcentral